GUAACAAGGUUUCCGUAGGUGAACCUGCGGAAGGAUCAUUAACGAGUUUUGAAAGGGGUUGUCGCUGGCUUCUAACGAGGCAAUGUGCACGCUCUGCUCAUCCACUCUCAACCUCUGUGCACUUAUUGUAGGUCGGUGGGAUUGGGCUCUUUUUCGUUAUGAAGUGUGUGGUAACACACACUGAUUACUAGAGAGGAGUCUAUGAAAGCCUUCCUAUGUUUUACUACAAACGCUUCAGUUAUAGAAUGUCUACCUUGCGUGUAACGCAUUUAUAUACAACUUUCAACAACGGAUCUCUUGGCUCUCGCAUCGAUGAAGAACGCAGCGAAAUGCGAUAAGUAAUGUGAAUUGCAGAAUUCAGUGAAUCAUCGAAUCUUUGAACGCACCUUGCGCUCCCUGGUAUUCCGGGGAGCACGCCCGUUUGAGUGUCAUGGUAUUCUCAACCUCUAUAACUUUGUUGUUAUUGAGGCUUGGACUUGGAGGUUGUGCUGGCUCUUGUUAGUCGGCUCCUCUCAAAUGCAUUAGCGUGAACGUUACGGAUCGCUAUCAGUGUGAUAAUUAUCUGCGCUGUUAGUGUUGAAGUAUGUCAAGUCUUGCGCUUCCAAUCGUCCUUCAGCUGGACAAUUAUGUAUUUCAUUAUACUUCUGACAUCUGACCUCAAAUCGGGCGGGAUUACCCGCUGAACUUAAGCAUAUC
RNAcentral lists this ribosomal RNA (696 nucleotides) under Pirex concentricus. RNAcentral's name for it is "eukaryotic LSU rRNA". The stretch from base 278 to 431 matches the Rfam family "5.8S ribosomal RNA". The record is from RNAcentral. Lineage: Eukaryota; Fungi; Basidiomycota; Agaricomycetes; Agaricales.